CUUCAACCCGUCCCCUUCUCUUUCUCCUUGAAAACCCUAAAUUCCAUCCUCCUCUUCGUUCUUUCCUCGAUGACCCACUCUAUUCUUGUGGUCGAUAUCAUCGCUGGCUAUUGACGCUUCGUUUGCCUCUCUCACCGAGUAGUUUGAUACCCCAGUUCCCGAAGAACAUCUCUCUGAACCCCGAUUUGAAAACUCUAACCAACCGAGGUAGGCGGAUUAUUCGUCUGGGAGAACGGUUCUGGCAUUGGCGGCAGUGAUGGUGAGUUUCAGCCAGGGAGAUGCUCGCGAUGAUGAUCCACUACGAUCUCUGUUGUGGGCUUAAUACGCUCAGGGAAGUGAACAGCUUUGGUAAUUCAUGUUCGGUUGAGAUCUCAACCAUCGCUGUCCUCGUGGAGUUUCUUCGUUGUUGGAACCAGAAAAACAGAGUGCAUUGAGUUGGUUUAUCAGGUUGGAAUAUGUGGAGAGCAUGGUGGGAGCCAUCUUCUAUUGCAUUCUUUGCUCAAAUUGGUCUUGAUUAUGUCUCAUACUCUCCUUUUAGGUAGGAAGCUUAUUGGGAGGCUCCUCAAAAUCUUUUCUUACCAUGAUAGGUAUAUCCAUGAUGAGGAAGGAAGUUGAGAACGAUGAGUCUGUAAAAAAAUCUUCAUCUCUUAGAAAAAUACCAGUGGUAUCUUUUGGCCGUGAUCUUCAACUUCCUGUACAUG
Molecule: RNA transcript, 701 nt
Organism: Arachis duranensis
Lineage: Eukaryota; Viridiplantae; Streptophyta; Magnoliopsida; Fabales; Fabaceae
Exons: 6
Source: RefSeq, a predicted model, not a curated record